RNAcentral lists this long non-coding RNA (6328 nucleotides) under Solanum tuberosum (potato). Its description in RNAcentral is "long non-coding RNA (STUB_LNC006000)". Lineage: Eukaryota; Viridiplantae; Streptophyta; Magnoliopsida; Solanales; Solanaceae. The record is from RNAcentral.
AGCAAGAUAAACAAAAUAAAUAAUCAUCCAAGACAAUACAACAACAACAUAACAACAUAGUCCCACAAAGUAGGAUCUAGAGAGGGUAGAGCAUAUGCAAACCUUACCCCUACCGCAAAGGUACAUAAACUGUUUCUGAUAGAUCCUCGGCUCAGGAAAAACAAUCGGAAGUAAUGAAGAUACAAGAAACAAGAAACAAUGACAAAAAUAGCAUACAGUAACAGAACAAAAACUACAACACACAAUAUACUAAUUGAGGUAUAAAAAACAACAGAUAGAGUAACAUACCAAUGAGUUGCUUGCUAAUUUCUCUAUUUCUCCUUCAUUUUCUUUUCCUAUUUCCAUGCAUGCAAUUCUCAAAAUCUGAACAAUUACUCUGCUAAUUAGUCUCUAAUUAACACCACAAAUGUCUAGAAAAAAAUUAAUUUGUAAAGAAGAAAGUAUUAACAUCCAAAUAUUCUUCAAUAAUCAUACCUUUAAGUUGACAAAAUGGGACAAAGCAGUUGAAAUAAUUACUUCGCCAAAGACAAACUUGAAAGGCCAAAGAAGAUUUAAAAAGUUACUCCAGUACUUCCCCGUUCACAUUUAAUUGUCAUAUUGCGCUUUUAGAAAGUCAAUUUUUUGCAUAUUAAUAUGAUAAAAAAAAUACAUCAUAAAAUAUUAGUCAAAGUUGUUUGACUCUAAAAAUAGAAAUCAUAACAAUUAAAAGUGGAUGGAGAAAAUAAUUUAUAUUCCCUUAUAUAAAUUAUUAUUUCUGAACAUGAUAUCGCAUAGCACUUUUUUUAUUUUCAAAUACUUGACCUUUUAAUUUAUAAAUUACGUAAAAAAUAUUAUAAUAAAUUAAUAAUUUAAAAAAUAUAUGGAAAAAUUAAAUUUUAAAAAAAUAACUCAUUUAACUCUUGAAAUCCGAAUACAAUCCCAGGGUGGAGGCAGUAGUACACAUUAUCAUCUUAGUCUUUGUAAAUUAAAUAAUUAAUUGUCAUCUUCAAGUCUCUGUAAUCAAUUGUGGAAAAUAUAAUAUUUUACACUCCACUUGUUUUGAGAUUACCUAUAAAAAAAUUCUUUCUUUUUUUGUGGGUUUGUAAACUUCCCUAUCUGAUUCCAAUUGGAUGUUCUUUUUGGGCGUGCUCGGUAGAGAAAUAAAAUAUUAUUCUAUAAAUAUUUGUGUAUAAGACGUGAGAGUUAAGUGGUGGGUGUGUGGGGCUACGCGGAUGAGGGUGAUGAUGAGGUGUAUUGAGAGUAGAAAAAGGGUAUAAUUUGUUUUUUCUUUCUAAGAAAAAAGUCAUUAAGAUGUCUCAACUCAUCCUCCUGAUGCUUAUUGCACGACACAUAAAUUUUAAAAAGUGUCUAGAUAAUCAUUUUGUAUUAGUGUGUAAAUGACUUUUCAUGCAAUUAUAGGGGUGUCUUGUGUCUUUUUUCCAUGAUUAAACAAAUAUAAGAUGGUAAUUAAUGUGUAACUUUUGACCAUGAGACUAAAAGAAAAUAUUAAAAAAUGACUAGUCUAAAGUAGUACUGUGAAUUGUCUUUUUAUAUUGUCUAAUUAUUUCUUCUUUCUAGUAGUACCAGUAAUACUCCAAUUCUCAAUUCCUUUAAGCACUUCUCAUACACAAUUUUUUUUUGAACUAUAUCAAUUUUUUACAAUAUGAUUGGUCAAUUUUUUUAUUUAUAAAAAUAAGAAAAAUGACUUUUCUAAUAAAAACAAGAGAAACAAGUUUCACAAGUGACAUUCUAAAACACUAUUUAUUUUGAAACAGAGGGAGUAAUACACCUCACUGCUCAGACCAAAUAUAUAGGAAUCAUAAAAUUGCAUGUUUUGACUUUUAAAUGGGCUAGUCUUUAAUUUUUGUCUUUUAACAAUCAAAUUUAUACCUAAAAAGAUAUAAAUUUUUUAGCAAGUGAAAUCAUAUCUCGACAUAAUUUAUAAAAUAUUAUGAUACGAAAAUAUAAAUUUAUCCUCCUCAAAAAAAUUUAUUCAAAAGUGCAAAUGACUAAAUAGGAACCCCACUUAGUGAGACAUUAUUAGUGGGCUUAUUUUAAUAACUUUACAACUCUCUACUGGAAAAGAAAAGAUUCUAAUUACACCAUUAAUUUUCCUUCGUUUUUAGUUUGAUGGAAGGAAUUUUUUUUUGAACUACUUUGGCUUGAUUAGUGAGAAUGGAAAGAGGAAAAGAAAAUGAAGGACAAACAAAUGGGGAAGAUAACAAAUCAUUGGUAUGUUGCAUAUAAUAAUUAAUUAUUUUUUUCAUUCACAUAAUUAAUUAUUAGAUAGUACAAGCCCGUGCAAGCACGGGCCCAACUUUGUGCUAUCGUAACUUGGAGUGAUUAUGAGCUGAUUCAUCCACAAUAGUCGAACAGCAGAAGUUUACUACUCUCAGAGCCAUAAGUUGAAGAUGAGGUAAGACAUAUUCGAUUAUUUCAUACUCAAUGCAACCAUUUACUUUCAACCUAUAGAAAUCUCUUAAAUUGCCAAAUACAUUCUGAAGAAGCUCACAUUGAGUAAUUGAUGGGAAAAUAGAUUCAGAACAACACUUGAAUAGACUUUGGAGAUACAUGUGGAUGGCAUCUAAAAAGUUCAACGAAACGAUCCUCGGUCAUGGUUGUUACACGGCUUGGUUCAACAUAGCUAUGUGAGCUAAUAUAACUUUUGAAAUUCUCCAAGAGGUGAAAAAACAUUCUAUCAACCAGCAUGUCUACUCCACUUGGAUGAAACAGUGACUGAACGAAAUCAUGAAUCUCAUUGGAUAUGCAAGACAUUUCGUCAUUACAACUUUCCAAAAUAAAGAGUAAUAAAGACCACAAAAUGCGGACACAAACGUCAGCUUCAAUGUCAAGAGAAGUUCGAACACGCCCACUAGUUAACCUCUCUAUGAAAUCUAGAAGAUUGUCGAUGUCCUCGCGAAGUACAACGCGGGAUGACACCUGCCAAAAGACCAAAUGUUGUUUCAAAUUAUGUUAAUACAUAGAUGGUGAUAAUUUAGAUAGAAAAAAGGGAACGACUAAUAUAGUUGAGGUGUGAAACUCGCCAAAACGUGAUAGCUCAGGCAUGUUUUGAUUGUUGACUCUAAUUUUUACAACAAGCAACUGUUACAAGUGCAGAGGACAAAGUGCAGAGGACUUUCCCUUGCUUUUUAUGUUCUUCUACAGAACUAAUUAUUUUUCACUAUAAUUGAAAAGUUGAAGUCUUUGCCCUUUAAAAAAUAUAUAUUUUAAAUGUACUAUUUUUUUUGUUACUUAUAAUUAUAUUUUUUUUAUUUGUUUAAUUUUAUAUUGGAUGAUAAAUAUAUAGGGUAAAAUAAGCAAAUCAUGUAUUAGUAUUGACAUUGCUUAAAGUGCAUUAAGCAUGUUUUAGUCCUAGAAUGCAAAUAUUCAUUUACUUUGAAAUUAAAAAUGUUUCCCCCUUGUUAUUACAUAAUUUUAUUUUAUAUUGAAAAAUUAUAGGAUUUUUUUUACUUUUAUGAUACAAUAAAACUAAAUGAAGCAUUUUUCAUCUAAAAAAAGACUAAAAUAUUUUCUCCAUGUUGAAUUCUUAAGUAGAUUACUAUUUACUCAUGAAAAUAUGGGUAAAAUAUAAGUAAACUAGUAUUUUACCCAAUCUAUUUUUACCCAUAUCAAAUAUGGACGGGUUGAAUUAUUAACCCAUUUUAUGUUGACCCAUUUUCAACCCGCCCAAAUUUUACCCAACCCGCCCAUUUGUCACCCCUAUUCUUAAGCCAUUCCAAACAUGUUGUACUUAGGCCACCAAUGCCCGAUUCUCAUGAUCUAAUACAAGGUUUGAUUAUAUUCUUGCCCUUACUAUCAACCAUAGCAGAUGAUUUAGUACAUAGAGUUUAACUUAUACCAGAAAGAUUAAAUCAUCGAUUCUUAUAGGUUAUAAAGAUUAUAUUCACCAUCUAAGUUACACAAAGCAACAAAAACAUUAAUUAUGUGAAUGAAAAAAAUAAUUAAAUAUAAUAAACAACAUACCAAUGAUUUGUUAUCUUCCCCUUUUGUUUGUCCUUCAUUUUCUUUUCCUCUUUCCAUUCUCACUAAUCAAGCCAAAGUAGUUUUUUUUUUUAAAAAAAUCCUUCCUUUCAACUUCUCAAGAGAAACAAUUUACAUCAAACUAAGAAUGAAGGAAAAUCAAAGGUGUAAUUAGAAUCUUUUGUUUUCCAGUUGAGAGUUGUAAAGGUGUUAAAGAUAAGCCCACUAAUAAUGUCUCACUAGGUGGGGUUCCUAAUUGGUCUUUUGCCUUUUAAGAAUAUAUUUUUCGGAAAAGGGUCAAAAAUAUUUUUAAACUACGUGAAAUGAACAAAAAAUCCUUCAUUUAUAGUUUGGCUCAAAAAUGUCCUUGCCAUCAAUUUUCGUCACCUAUAUAACAUCAUAGUAUAUCCAUCUUUAAUUUUCAUUUAUAUAACAAUAAAAAAUAAUUAUAAUAAAAUAAGAAUUUUUUUUUUUUAAAAAAAAAUUGAAGUAGGAUAAACAUUCACUAAUUUUAAAAAAUAUUAUUAGAAAAAAUAUGUGUUAAGAAGAAAAUAAAUAAUAUAUUUAGUUGGAAGGGCAUUUUUGACCCAUUAAAUAAUAAUAAAGGCGUUUAUGGACGAAAGUAAUGAGGCAAGGGUAAUUUUGGACCAAAUUAUAAACGGAUGACAUUUUUGUUCAUUUCACAUUGUUUAAGGGUGUUUCACUUAUGAAACUUGUUUCUCCUGCUUUCAUUUGAAAAGUCAUUUCCUUAUUUUUAUAAAUUAAAAACUCAUUUUUCUAAAGAAAAAAAUUGACCAAUCAAUUUUUUUAAAAAAAAUAUAUAUAUUUCAAAAAAUUGUGUAUGAGAAGUGCUUGGAGGAAUUGAGAAUUGGAGUAUUAUUGGUACUAGAAAGAAGAAAUAAUUAGACAUUGAGAAUUGGACAAUAUAAAAAGACAAUUCCCAAGACUACUUUAGACUAAAGUCAUAUUUUUAUAUUUUCUUUUUAGUCUCAUGGUCAAAAAGUUACACCUGCAUUAUCAUCUUAUAUCGUUCAAUCAAGGGAAAAAGACAUAAAAUACCCCUAUAAUUGCAUGAAAAGUCAUUUACACACCAAUAAUUAUAAACAUAUUUUACUUGAUCAGUGCGUGUUUGUAGCUUAAUUUUUUUCUUCUUCUUGUCAUACAGGUUUUAUUUGUGUGCUUUAUAUAAAGCACCAUAACCUAUGGAUCAAUGGCAACAAUGGGGUACUUAAUGUAUGGACAAAAUUUAAUGUCACAAAUAAAAUUAAAUCUCCCUAUUGGAAAAAUUAGUUUGAAAAUCGCGAUAUAUACGAUACUCGUUAAUUCAAUAACAAAGUAUGCUCUUGUCGUCUCUCCAAUUGCAACAACUAUUGAAGAUAAAUUACCUUUACAAAAGAGUAAAUUUAUCAUGAGCUACUUCAUUAGAACAUUUUUUGUCAUCAGCAUGGUCAUUGUGGCAUUAACCGUUCCAUUUUUUGGAUAUGUCAUGACAUUUACAGGCGCGCUUUUGAACGUUACCGUGUCGAUAUUUUUACCAUGCAUAUGCUACCUCAAGAUCAAGAAGUCUCAUAUUUGGAAGUUAUGUUUAUUGGGAUGAUUUUGGUUUCUGGUUCUUCAAUUGCCAUAUCUGAAACUUACACUUCUUUGGAAAACAUAAUUAGUCAUGUCUAAAGGUGACAAAUGAACGGUUUGGACAAAAUUUGAAUGGGUUAGAAUGGACUGAAUCAAUGGGUCGUUGCUCAAUCCUGUCCUAAGUUUAUUUGGACUAUAAUAAGCUAAGUCAAGAUGGGCUAAAUAAUGAUUUGUAGCCCAAACCACUCGAUCAACUUGACCCCACCAUUUUUUUUUUUGGAAAUAUCAAUAAAUAUUAUAAACUAAAUAUUCCCAAACCAAUCAAACAUUGUGUGCACAAAUUCAAUUAGGGAACCAAUUUGCAUAACUUCUAUUUUCUGCUAAGCAAGUUAAAUUCAAAGCCUAGUGACUUCACCGUUAUAGUGGGUAAAGUUCAGUUACUUUAAUGUGAUAAUCAAUAAAUUUGUGACUUUACUAUCAAGGAACAUACAAAAGAAAGGAAGACAAAACAAAUACUAUAGGAAGCAUUACAAAACAUUUAAGAAAAAGAAACCGUAAGAACAACAAAAUAACGUUAUGAAAAGCAAGUACACAUACAAUAUAGAGAACACAAGUACUGAUAGCUAGCUAGCACUGUUUAGACUUGAUAAUGACAAAAAUAGCAGAUAGUAACAGAACAAAAACUACAACAAAACAAUAUACUAAUCGAGGUACAAGAAACAACAGACAGAGUAACAUACCAAUGAGUUGCUUGCUAAUUUCUCUAUUUCUCCUUCAUUUUCUUUUCCUAUUUCCA